This 73-nucleotide transfer RNA is filed under the name Galendromus occidentalis (western predatory mite). RNAcentral's name for it is "tRNA-Thr". It matches the Rfam family "tRNA". Rfam says of the family: Transfer RNA (tRNA) molecules are approximately 80 nucleotides in length. The record is from RNAcentral. Lineage: Eukaryota; Metazoa; Arthropoda; Arachnida; Mesostigmata; Phytoseiidae.
GGCUCCGUGGCCCAGUGGUUAAGGCGUCGGUCUUGUAAACCGAAGAUCACGGGUUCGAUUCCCGUCGGAGCCU